This 99-nucleotide signal recognition particle RNA is filed under the name Mucispirillum sp. RNAcentral's name for it is "signal recognition particle sRNA small type". It matches the Rfam family "Bacterial small signal recognition particle RNA". From Rfam's summary of the family: The signal recognition particle (SRP) is a universally conserved ribonucleoprotein involved in the co-translational targeting of proteins to membranes. Archaeal SRP consists of a 7S RNA and homologues of the eukaryotic SRP19 and SRP54 proteins. Lineage: Bacteria; Pseudomonadati; Deferribacterota; Deferribacteres; Deferribacterales; Mucispirillaceae. The record is from RNAcentral.
CGCCGGAAACUCUGCGACUGCAAAGCGGCGAACCCCGUCAGGUUCGGAAGAAAGCAGCGGCAGUCUCUUUUGCGGUGUGCCGAGAACAUUUCGGCGGGU